AGCGAACGCGGGCGGCAGGCUUAACACAUGCAAGUCGAACGGGCGUAGCAAUACGUCAGUGGCAGACGGGUGAGUAACGCGUGGGAACGUACCUUUUGGUUCGGAACAACACAGGGAAACUUGUGCUAAUACCGGAUAAGCCCUUACGGGGAAAGAUUUAUCGCCGAAAGAUCGGCCCGCGUCUGAUUAGCUAGUUGGUGAGGUAACGGCUCACCAAGGCGACGAUCAGUAGCUGGUCUGGGAGGAUGAUCAGCCACAUUGGGACUGAGACACGGCCCAAACUCCUACGGGAGGCAGCAGUGGGGAAUAUUGGACAAUGGGCGCAAGCCUGAUCCAGCCAUGCCGCGUGAGUGAUGAAGGCCCUAGGGUUGUAAAGCUCUUUUGUGCGGGAAGAUAAUGACGGUACCGCAAGAAUAAGCCCCGGCUAACUUCGUG
RNAcentral lists this ribosomal RNA (435 nucleotides) under uncultured bacterium. RNAcentral describes it as "bacterial SSU rRNA". It matches the Rfam family "Bacterial small subunit ribosomal RNA", at positions 29 to 507 of the family's 1533-position model. The record is from RNAcentral.